GGGGUUAUAGCUCAGUUGGUUAGAGCGCUACGUUGACAUCGUAGAGGUCACAGAUUCGAGUUCUGUUAACCCCACCA
RNAcentral lists this transfer RNA (77 nucleotides) under Veillonellales bacterium. Its description in RNAcentral is "tRNA-Val". It matches the Rfam family "tRNA". From Rfam's summary of the family: Transfer RNA (tRNA) molecules are approximately 80 nucleotides in length. Their secondary structure includes four short double-helical elements and three loops (D, anti-codon, and T loops). Lineage: Bacteria; Bacillati; Bacillota; Negativicutes; Veillonellales. The record is from RNAcentral. RNAcentral also lists the same sequence under 1 other name.